Taeniopygia guttata (zebra finch) is the source of this 883-nucleotide non-coding RNA. The record is from RefSeq and is a predicted model, not a curated record. NCBI's taxonomy places the organism in Eukaryota, Metazoa, Chordata, Aves, Passeriformes, Estrildidae.
CCCACCCUGGGACUGUCCCCUCACAGACAUGGCAACAACCCCACACUGGGACUGUUCCACACCGCAACAACCGCACCGUGAGACUGUCCCCUCACAGACACCGAACAACCCCACCCUGGGACUGUCCCCUCACAGACACCGCAACAACCCCACUCUGGGACUGUCCCCUCACAGACACCCCAACAACCCCACCCAGCACAUUCCCGUAUUCCCAGCAUGGACCACCAUGGACCACUGGCCCAGCCCCCAUCCUGCUGCCUCCAGCAUGCACCACCAGCCCCAGCCUGGAUCAAUCCCCAUGGGCCACCAUGGACCACCUUCCCAUCAUAGACCACUUCCCCAGUCUUAGUACACCCCACUGCUUCAGCGUGUCCCAGCUUGGGCUACCAUGGACCACCAGCCCCAGCACAGCCCCCAGCCCCAGCAUGGACCACCUCAGACCAGCUGCAGGAGGUCCAGCAGCUCUUGGGCCUCCUGGAGAGCAGCAGGACACUGAGCGGGCACAUGCUGCUGCCUCCCACGGCAUCCCAGCAGAGUCCAGAGGAGAGGAACCCAACACUGAGCAGAACCAGCAGCUGCUGACCCUGAGGAACCUCAACAAUCCCUAAAAAGCUUCUAAAAAGCAGGAAACCCCAGGAGACAAGUUCCUUCCCUCGGGCAGAAACCUCCUUUGCAGGUACGGGGGGAGGGCUGUGCUGAGACCCCCAACCUCACCUCCCCUCCCCACCAGGCCUGGGAGAGCAAACUCAUCUUCCCCCCACAAAAACAGAGUGGUUUUAUUUGUGUGGUGUGGUUAAAUCGAUUUUAUAGAACUUCAGCUGGAACAGAGAAGCUUCAAGAUAGAUACACUCAUAAAAGUGCAGACACGCGGGGUAUUUCCCUG